Molecule: ribosomal RNA, 482 nt
Filed under: uncultured bacterium
Lineage: Bacteria
Description: partial 16S ribosomal RNA
Rfam family: Bacterial small subunit ribosomal RNA
Source: RNAcentral
AUUGAACGCUGGCGGCAUGCUUUACACAUGCCAGUCGAACGGUAACAGGCCGCAAGGUGCUGACGAGUGGCGAACGGGUGAGUAAUGCAUCAGAACGUGCCCAGUCGUUGGGGAUAACUACUCGAAAGAGUAGCUAAUACCGCAUACGAUCUAUGGAUGAAAGCGGGGGACCGUAAGGCCUCGCGCGAUUGGAGCGGCCGAUGUCAGAUUAGGUAGUUGGUGGGGUAAAGGCUCACCAAGCCAACGAUCUGUAGCUGGUCUGAGAGGACGACCAGCCACACUGGGACUGAGACACGGCCCAGACUCCUACGGGAGGCAGCAGUGGGGAAUUUUGGACAAUGGGCGCAAGCCUGAUCCAGCAAUGCCGCGUGCAGGAAGAAGGCCUUCGGGUUGUAAACUGCUUUUGUACGGAACGAAACGGCUCUGGUUAAUACCCGGGGCUAAUGACGGUACCGUAAGAAUAAGCACCGGCUAACUACGUG